UUUAUGGAGAGUUUGAUCCUGGCUCAGAACGAACGCUGGCGGCGUGGAUUAGGCAUGCAAGUCGAACGGAGUACUUAGCUUUUUCGAGUACUUAGUGGCGAAAGGGUGAGUAACACGUGGGUUACCUGCCCUCGGGAUCGGGAUAACCCGUCGAAAGACGGGCUAAUACCGGAUAUGCCUCUGGAUCUUAAUUGAUUUGGAGGGAAAGAUGGGGAUCCGUAAGGACCUAUCACCCUUGGAUGGGCCCGCGGCCUAUCAGCUAGUUGGUGAGGUAAUGGCUCACCAAGGCUAAGACGGGUAGCUGGUCUGAGAGGAUGGUCAGCCACACUGGGA
RNAcentral lists this ribosomal RNA (333 nucleotides) under Candidatus Omnitrophota bacterium. RNAcentral's name for it is "bacterial SSU rRNA". It matches the Rfam family "Bacterial small subunit ribosomal RNA", at positions 1 to 318 of the family's 1533-position model. The record is from RNAcentral. Lineage: Bacteria; Pseudomonadati; Candidatus Omnitrophota.